GGGUUGUGAGGUUAAGCGACUAAGCGUACACGGUGGAUGCCCUGGCAGUCAGAGGCGAUGAAGGACGUGCUAAUCUGCGAUAAGCGUCGGUAAGGUGAUAUGAACCGUUAUAACCGGCGAUUUCCGAAUGGGGAAACCCAGUGUGUUUCGACACACUAUCAUUAACUGAAUCCAUAGGUUAAUGAGGCGAACCGGGGGAACUGAAACAUCUAAGUACCCCGAGGAAAAGAAAUCAACCGAGAUUCCCCCAGUAGCGGCGAGCGAACGGGGAGGAGCCCAGAGCCUGAAUCAGUGUGUGUGUUAGUGGAAGCGUCUGGAAAGGCGCGCGAUACAGGGUGACAGCCCCGUACACAAAAAUGCACAUACUGUGAGCUCGAUGAGUAGGGCGGGACACGUGGUAUCCUGUCUGAAUAUGGGGGGACCAUCCUCCAAGGCUAAAUACUCCUGACUGACCGAUAGUGAACCAGUACCGUGAGGGAAAGGCGAAAAGAACCCCGGCGAGGGGAGUGAAAAAGAACCUGAAACCGUGUACGUACAAGCAGUGGGAGCACGCUUAGGCGUGUGACUGCGUACCUUUUGUAUAAUGGGUCAGCGACUUAUAUUCUGUAGCAAGGUUAACCGAAUAGGGGAGCCGAAGGGAAACCGAGUCUUAACUGGGCGUUAAGUUGCAGGGUAUAGACCCGAAACCCGGUGAUCUAGCCAUGGGCAGGUUGAAGGUUGGGUAACACUAACUGGAGGACCGAACCGACUAAUGUUGAAAAAUUAGCGGAUGACUUGUGGCUGGGGGUGAAAGGCCAAUCAAACCGGGAGAUAGCUGGUUCUCCCCGAAAGCUAUUUAGGUAGCGCCUCGUGAAUUCAUCUCCGGGGGUAGAGCACUGUUUCGGCAAGGGGGUCAUCCCGACUUACCAACCCGAUGCAAACUGCGAAUACCGGAGAAUGUUAUCACGGGAGACACACGGCGGGUGCUAACGUCCGUCGUGAAGAGGGAAACAACCCAGACCGCCAGCUAAGGUCCCAAAGUCAUGGUUAAGUGGGAAACGAUGUGGGAAGGCCCAGACAGCCAGGAUGUUGGCUUAGAAGCAGCCAUCAUUUAAAGAAAGCGUAAUAGCUCACUGGUCGAGUCGGCCUGCGCGGAAGAUGUAACGGGGCUAAACCAUGCACCGAAGCUGCGGCAGCGACGCUGAUGCGUUGUUGGGUAGGGGAGCGUUCUGUAAGCCUGCGAAGGUGUGCUGUGAGGCAUGCUGGAGGUAUCAGAAGUGCGAAUGCUGACAUAAGUAACGAUAAAGCGGGUGAAAAGCCCGCUCGCCGGAAGACCAAGGGUUCCUGUCCAACGUUAAUCGGGGCAGGGUGAGUCGACCCCUAAGGCGAGGCCGAAAGGCGUAGUCGAUGGGAAACAGGUUAAUAUUCCUGUACUUGGUGUUACUGCGAAGGGGGGACGGAGAAGGCUAUGUUGGCCGGGCGACGGUUGUCCCGGUUUAAGCGUGUAGGCUGGUUUUCCAGGCAAAUCCGGAAAAUCAAGGCUGAGGCGUGAUGACGAGGCACUACGGUGCUGAAGCAACAAAUGCCCUGCUUCCAGGAAAAGCCUCUAAGCAUCAGGUAACAUCAAAUCGUACCCCAAACCGACACAGGUGGUCAGGUAGAGAAUACCAAGGCGCUUGAGAGAACUCGGGUGAAGGAACUAGGCAAAAUGGUGCCGUAACUUCGGGAGAAGGCACGCUGAUAUGUAGGUGAAGUCCCUCGCGGAUGGAGCUGAAAUCAGUCGAAGAUACCAGCUGGCUGCAACUGUUUAUUAAAAACACAGCACUGUGCAAACACGAAAGUGGACGUAUACGGUGUGACGCCUGCCCGGUGCCGGAAGGUUAAUUGAUGGGGUUAGCGCAAGCGAAGCUCUUGAUCGAAGCCCCGGUAAACGGCGGCCGUAACUAUAACGGUCCUAAGGUAGCGAAAUUCCUUGUCGGGUAAGUUCCGACCUGCACGAAUGGCGUAAUGAUGGCCAGGCUGUCUCCACCCGAGACUCAGUGAAAUUGAACUCGCUGUGAAGAUGCAGUGUACCCGCGGCAAGACGGAAAGACCCCGUGAACCUUUACUAUAGCUUGACACUGAACAUUGAGCCUUGAUGUGUAGGAUAGGUGGGAGGCUUUGAAGUGUGGACGCCAGUCUGCAUGGAGCCGACCUUGAAAUACCACCCUUUAAUGUUUGAUGUUCUAACGUUGACCCGUAAUCCGGGUUGCGGACAGUGUCUGGUGGGUAGUUUGACUGGGGCGGUCUCCUCCUAAAGAGUAACGGAGGAGCACGAAGGUUGGCUAAUCCUGGUCGGACAUCAGGAGGUUAGUGCAAUGGCAUAAGCCAGCUUGACUGCGAGCGUGACGGCGCGAGCAGGUGCGAAAGCAGGUCAUAGUGAUCCGGUGGUUCUGAAUGGAAGGGCCAUCGCUCAACGGAUAAAAGGUACUCCGGGGAUAACAGGCUGAUACCGCCCAAGAGUUCAUAUCGACGGCGGUGUUUGGCACCUCGAUGUCGGCUCAUCACAUCCUGGGGCUGAAGUAGGUCCCAAGGGUAUGGCUGUUCGCCAUUUAAAGUGGUACGCGAGCUGGGUUUAGAACGUCGUGAGACAGUUCGGUCCCUAUCUGCCGUGGGCGCUGGAGAACUGAGGGGGGCUGCUCCUAGUACGAGAGGACCGGAGUGGACGCAUCACUGGUGUUCGGGUUGUCAUGCCAAUGGCACUGCCCGGUAGCUAAAUGCGGAAGAGAUAAGUGCUGAAAGCAUCUAAGCACGAAACUUGCCCCGAGAUGAGUUCUCCCUGACUCCUUGAGAGUCCUGAAGGAACGUUGAAGACGACGACGUUGAUAGGCCGGGUGUGUAAGCGCAGCGAUGCGUUGAGCUAACCGGUACUAAUGAACCGUGAGGCUUAACCUUACAACGCCGAAGCUGUU
Molecule: ribosomal RNA, 2930 nt
Filed under: Escherichia coli
Lineage: Bacteria; Pseudomonadati; Pseudomonadota; Gammaproteobacteria; Enterobacterales; Enterobacteriaceae
Description: 23S ribosomal RNA
Rfam family: Bacterial large subunit ribosomal RNA
Source: RNAcentral